ACGUGAGUAACCUGCCCCUGACUCUGGGAUAAGCCUUGGAAACGAGGUCUAAUACCGGAUAUGAGACGUACAGGCAUCUGUUGCGUCUGGAAAGAUUUAUCGGUGAGGGAUGGGCUCGCGGCCUAUCAGCUUGUUGGUGGGGUGAUGGCCUACCAAGGCGACGACGGGUAGCCGGCCUGAGAGGGCGACCGGCCACACUGGGACUGAGACACGGCCCAGACUCCUACGGGAGGCAGCAGUGGGGAAUAUUGCACAAUGGGCGCAAGCCUGAUGCAGCGACGCCGCGUGAGGGAUGACGGCCUUCGGGUUGUAAACCUCUUUCAGCAGGGAAGAAGCGCAAGUGACGGUACCUGCAGAAGAAGCGCCGGCUAACUACGUGCCAGCAGCCGCGGUAAUACGUAGGGCGCAAGCGUUGUCCGGAAUUAUUGGGCGUAAAGAGCUCGUAGGCGGUUUGUCGCGUCUGCUGUGAAAACCUAAGGCUCAACCUUGGGCUUGCAGUGGGUACGGGCAGACUAGAGUGCGGUAGGGGUGACUGGAAUUCCUGGUGUAGCGGUGGAAUGCGCAGAUAUCAGGAGGAACACCGAUGGCGAAGGCAGGUCACUGGGCCGCAACUGACGCUGAGGAGCGAAAGCAUGGGGAGCGAACAGGAUUAGAUACCCUGGUAGUCCAUGCCGUAAACGUUGGGCACUAGGUGUGGGGCUCAUUCCACGAGUUCCGUGCCGCAGCAAACGCAUUAAGUGCCCCGCCUGGGGNGUACGGCCGCAAGGCUAAAACUCAAAGAAAUUGACGGGGGCCCGCACAAGCGGCGGAGCAUGCGGAUUAAUUCGAUGCAACGCGAAGAACCUUACCAAGGCUUGACAUACACCGGAAAAGUGCAG
Molecule: ribosomal RNA, 878 nt
Filed under: Cellulomonas sp. SB26
Lineage: Bacteria; Bacillati; Actinomycetota; Actinomycetes; Micrococcales; Cellulomonadaceae
Description: bacterial SSU rRNA
Rfam family: Bacterial small subunit ribosomal RNA
Source: RNAcentral